This 509-nucleotide ribosomal RNA is filed under the name uncultured Flavobacteriaceae bacterium. RNAcentral's name for it is "bacterial SSU rRNA". It matches the Rfam family "Bacterial small subunit ribosomal RNA", at positions 536 to 1050 of the family's 1533-position model. Lineage: Bacteria; Pseudomonadati; Bacteroidota; Flavobacteriia; Flavobacteriales; Flavobacteriaceae. The record is from RNAcentral.
AAGCGUUAUCCGGAAUCAUUGGGUUUAAAGGGUCCGUAGGCGGAUAGAUAAGUCAGAGGUGAAAUCCUGCAGCUCAACUGUAGAAUUGCCUUUGAAACUGUUUAUCUUGAGUUAUUGUGAAGUGGUUAGAAUAUGUAGUGUAGCGGUGAAAUGCUUAGAGAUUACAUGGAAUACCGAUUGCGAAGGCAGAUCACUAACAAUAUACUGACGCUGAUGGACGAAAGCGUGGGGAGCGAACGGGAUUAGAUACCCCGGUAGUCCACGCCGUAAACGAUGGAUACUAGCUGUUCGACCUUCGGGUUGAGUGGCUAAGCGAAAGUGAUAAGUAUCCCACCUGGGGAGUACGUUCGCAAGAAUGAAACUCAAAGGAAUUGACGGGGGCCCGCACAAGCGGUGGAGCAUGUGGUUUAAUUCGAUGAUACGCGAGGAACCUUACCAGGGCUUAAAUGUAGAUUGCAUAGAGUAGAGAUAUUCUUUUCUUCGGACUAUUUACAAGGUGCUGCAUGGUU